This 490-nucleotide ribosomal RNA is filed under the name uncultured bacterium. Its description in RNAcentral is "partial 16S ribosomal RNA". It matches the Rfam family "Bacterial small subunit ribosomal RNA", at positions 30 to 507 of the family's 1533-position model. The record is from RNAcentral.
AUUGAACGCUGGCGGCAGGCCUAACACAUGCAAGUCGAACGGUAACAGGAAGAAGCUUGCUUCUUUGCUGACGAGUGGCGGACGGGUGAGUAAUGUCUGGGAAACUGCCUGAUGGAGGGGGAUAACUACUGGAAACGGUAGCUAAUACCGCAUAACGUCGCAAGACCAAGGAGGGGGACCUUCGGGCCUCUUGCCAUCGGAUGUGCCCAGAUGGGAUUAGCUAGUAGGUGGGGUAACGGCUCACCUAGGCGACGAUCCCUAGCUGGUCUGAGAGGAUGACCAGCCACACUGGAACUGAGACACGGUCCAGACUCCUACGGGAGGCGGCAGUGGGGAAUAUUGCACAAUGGGCGCAAGCCUGAUGCAGCCAUGCCGCGUGUAUGAAGAAGGCCUUCGGGUUGUAAAGUACUUUCAGCGGGGAGGAAGGGAGUAAAGUUAAUACCUUUACUCAUUGACGUUACCCGCAGAAGAAGCACCGGCUAACUCCGUG